Phyllostomus discolor (pale spear-nosed bat) is the source of this 441-nucleotide long non-coding RNA. RefSeq lists it as uncharacterized. The record is from RefSeq and is a predicted model, not a curated record. The transcript has 2 exons. NCBI's taxonomy places the organism in Eukaryota, Metazoa, Chordata, Mammalia, Chiroptera, Phyllostomidae.
GACAAUGCACAGUAACCUGGUACUGUCCACGUGGACCUCCCAAGCUUACAAAAUAAGAUGAUGCCUACUUUUGACAGAGCUGUGACCAAAAUAAAUGGACCAAUGUACAGAAGUGUGGGAAGAUCUACUUCAGAGAGGCGGUCAAGGGGAAACUAAGGCCAAGGUCUGAAGGCAGAGAAGGAGCUAGCCAUGCGGAGAGCCAGGUAGGUGCCUUCUGGGCAGAGAGAAGGGUGUGUGCAAAGGCCCCGAGGAAGUCACCAGCUUACUCUGUCAGAGGAAAAGACAAAGGCCCAGGUGGCUGGAGCAGAGUAGUUUCCCUAAACAUUUGACUAACCAGGACCCCGUAUUUCAUCACUGCUUAAGGCAAACCCCAGGUAGGAAAAUGACUCAUGCAUUGCCUAAAGAGGCCCCCAAAUGUGUACACACACACACACACACACA